Molecule: ribosomal RNA, 494 nt
Filed under: uncultured bacterium
Lineage: Bacteria
Description: partial 16S ribosomal RNA
Rfam family: Bacterial small subunit ribosomal RNA
Source: RNAcentral
GACGAACGCUGGCGGCGUGCUUAACACAUGCAAGUCGAACGGAAAGGCCUGCUUUCCCUUGUGGAUUGCGGGUACUCGAGUGGCGAACGGGUGAGUAACACGUGAGUGAUCUGCCCCCAACUUGGGUAUAAGCCUGGGAAACUGGGUCUAAUUCCCGAUAGGACUGCAGGGUGGUUCCUGUGGUGGAAAACGAUUUUCUAGUGGUUGGGGAUGAGCUCGCGGCCUAUCAGCUUGUUGGUGGGGUAAUGGCCUACCAAGGCGGCGACGGGUAGCCGGCCUGAGAGGGUGGACGGCCACAUUGGGACUGAGAUACGGCCCAGACUCCUACGGGAGGCAGCAGUGGGGAAUAUUGCACAAUGGGCGGAAGCCUGAUGCAGCGACGCCGCGUGGGGGAUGACGGCCUUCGGGUUGUAAACUCCUUUCGACCGCGAGGAAGCCACCUGGUUGGAAGGGUGGUGACGGUAGUGGUAGAAGAAGCACCGGCUAACUACGUG